UACGUAGGGGGCAAGCGUUAUCCGGAUUUACUGGGUGUAAAGGGAGCGUAGACGGCUCUGCAAGCCAGAUGUGAAAGCCCGGGGCUCAACCUCGGGACUGCAUUUGGAACUGUAUGGCUGGAGUGUCGGAGAGGCAGGCGGAAUUCCUAGUGUAGCGGUGAAAUGCGUAGAUAUUAGGAGGAACACCAGUGGCGAAGGCGGCCUGCUGGACGAUGACUGACGUUGAGGCUCGAAAGCGUGGGGAGCAAACAGG
This 253-nucleotide ribosomal RNA is filed under the name uncultured bacterium. RNAcentral's name for it is "partial 16S ribosomal RNA". It matches the Rfam family "Bacterial small subunit ribosomal RNA", at positions 524 to 776 of the family's 1533-position model. The record is from RNAcentral.